GAUGAACGCUGGCGGCGUGCCUAAUACAUGCAAGUCGAGCGAACGGACGAGAAGCUUGCUUCUCUGAUGUUAGCGGCGGACGGGUGAGUAACACGUGGAUAACCUACCUAUAAGACUGGGAUAACUUCGGGAAACCGGAGCUAAUACCGGAUGAUAUUUUGAACCGCAUGGUUCAAAAGUGAAAGACGGUCUUGCUGUCACUUAUAGAUGGAUCCGCGCUGCAUUAGCUAGUUGGUAAGGUAACGGCUUGCCAAGGCAACGAUGCAUAGCCGACCUGAGAGGGUGAUCGGACACACUGGAACUGAGACACGGUCCAGACUCCUACGGGAGGCAGCAGUAGGGAAUCUUCCGCAAUGGGCGAAAGCCUGACGGAGCAACGCCGCGUGAGUGAUGAAGGUCUUCGGAUCGUAAAACUCUGUUAUUAGGGAAGAACAUAUGUGUAAGUAACUGUGCACAUCUUGACGGUGCCUAAUCAGAAAGCCACGGCUAACUACGUG
RNAcentral lists this ribosomal RNA (497 nucleotides) under uncultured bacterium. RNAcentral describes it as "partial 16S ribosomal RNA". It matches the Rfam family "Bacterial small subunit ribosomal RNA", at positions 28 to 507 of the family's 1533-position model. The record is from RNAcentral.